Molecule: ribosomal RNA, 468 nt
Filed under: uncultured bacterium
Lineage: Bacteria
Description: partial 16S ribosomal RNA
Rfam family: Bacterial small subunit ribosomal RNA
Source: RNAcentral
GACGAACGCUGGCGGCGUGCUUAACACAUGCAAGUCGAACGGAAAGGCCCUGCUUUUGUGGGGUGCUCGAGUGGCGAACGGGUGAGUAACACGUGAGUAACCUGCCCUUGACUUUGGGAUAACUUCAGGAAACUGGGGCUAAUACCGGAUAGGAGCUCCUGCUGCAUGGUGGGGGUUGGAAGGUUUCGGUGGUUGGGGAUGGACUCGCGGCUUAUCAGCUUGUUGGUGGGGUAGUGGCUUACCAAGGCUUUGACGGGUAGCCGGCCUGAGAGGGUGACCGGCCACAUUGGGACUGAGAUACGGCCCAGACUCCUACGGGAGGCAGCAGUGGGGAAUAUUGCACAAUGGGCGGAAGCCUGAUGCAGCAACGCCGCGUGCGGGAUGACGGCCUUCGGGUUGUAAACCGCUUUCGCCUGUGACGAAGCGUGAGUGACGGUAAUGGGUAAAGAAGCACCGGCUAACUACGUG